UGUUAAUAAGCUCUUGGUUGGUAACAAAUGUGAUUUAACCUCCAAGAGGGUGGUAUCCAAUGAAACUGCCAAGGUAUCGUAAUCUUCGAAUUUUAUCUUCUUUAUGUCAGUUUCGUGAUUCAAAACUUUAGAAGUUCCCUUCUUUCCUUUUCGUCCCUUUUUGAAGGCGUUUGCAGAUGAAAUUGGUAUCCCAUUCCUGGAAACGAGCGCCAAGAAUGCUACCAAUGUAGAG
RNAcentral lists this unclassified non-coding RNA (232 nucleotides) under Hevea brasiliensis (rubber tree). Lineage: Eukaryota; Viridiplantae; Streptophyta; Magnoliopsida; Malpighiales; Euphorbiaceae. The record is from RNAcentral.